Molecule: ribosomal RNA, 1495 nt
Filed under: marine metagenome
Description: bacterial LSU rRNA
Rfam family: Bacterial large subunit ribosomal RNA
Source: RNAcentral
CAUGAGUAGCGACAAAGAGUGUGAGAGACACUCUCGCCGAAAGUCCAAGGGUUCCUGCUUAAAGCUAAUCUGAGCAGGGUAAGCCGACCCCUAAGUCGAGGCCGAAAGGCGUAGACGAUGGGAACCAGGUUAAUAUUCCUGGGCCAGGAAGAUGUGACGGAUCGUGAAGGUUGUUCACCCUUAUUGGAUUGGGUGGGCCGCUAAUCGGUUCCUGGAAAUAGCCUUCCAUAAGAUCGUACCCUAAACCGACACAGGUGGACUGGUAGAGAAUACCAAGGCGCUUGAGAGAACUAUGUUGAAGGAACUCGGCAAAAUACCUCCGUAAGUUCGCGAGAAGGAGGCCCAGUUUCUACGCAAGUAUUGACUGGGGGCACAAACCAGGGGGUGGCGACUGUUUACUAAAAACACAGGGCUCUGCGAAGUCGCAAGACGACGUAUAGGGUCUGACGCCUGCCCGGUGCCUGAAGGUUAAAAGGAGAUGUGAGAGCGUCGAAUUGAAGCCCAGGUAAACGGCGGCCGUAACUAUAACGGUCCUAAGGUAGCGAAAUUCCUUGUCGGGUAAGUUCCGACCUGCACGAAUGGCGUAACGACUUCCCCACUGUCUCCAACAUAGACUCAGCGAAAUUGAAUUGCCUGUCAAGAUGCAGGCUUCCCGCGGUUAGACGGAAAGACCCCGUGCACCUUUACUACAACUUCGCACUGGCAUCAGGCACAGCAUGUGCAGGAUAGGUGGUGGGCUUUGAAGCAGUAACGCCAGUUAUUGUGGAGCCUCCCUUGAGAUACCACCCUUGUUCUGCUUGAUGUCUAACUGCGGUCCAUUAUCUGGAUCCAGGACCCUGCGUGGUGGGUAGUUUGACUGGGGCGGUCGCCUCCUAAAGAGUAACGGAGGCGCGCGAAGGUUGGCUCAGAGCGGUCGGACAUCGCUCGUUGAGUGCAAUGGCAGAAGCCAGCCUGACUGCGAGACUGACAAGUCGAGCAGAGUCGAAAGACGGCCAUAGUGAUCCGGUGGUCCCGCGUGGAAGGGCCAUCGCUCAACGGAUAAAAGGUACGCCGGGGAUAACAGGCUGAUACUGCCCAAGAGUCCAUAUCGACGGCAGUGUUUGGCACCUCGAUGUCGGCUCAUCUCAUCCUGGGGCUGGAGCAGGUCCCAAGGGUACGGCUGUUCGCCGUUUAAAGAGGUACGUGAGCUGGGUUUAGAACGUCGUGAGACAGUUCGGUCCCUAUCUGCCGUGGGUGUAGGAUACUUGAGAGGAGUUGCCCCUAGUACGAGAGGACCGGGGUGAACGAUCCACUGGUGGACCUGUUGUUGCGCCAGCAGCAGUGCAGGGUAGCUAUGAUCGGACAGGAUAACCGCUGAAGGCAUCUAAGCGGGAAGCCCCCCUCAAAACAAGGUAUCCCUGAGAGCCGUGGAAGACCACCACGUCGAUAGGCCGGAGAUGUAAGCAUGGUAACAUGUUCAGUUGACCGGUACUAAUGGCUCGAUAGGCUUGGUUUG